GUUUGCACGUCGGGCGACAUGCUUAGCGUUAUUUCGUCUGCCGCUACGUUCUGAGUUCAAAUUCCGCCGAGCUUGACUUUGCCUUUCAUCCUUUCUGGGUCGAUUAAAUAAGUACCAGUUACGCACUUGGGUUGAUUAAAUAAGUACUAG
Octopus sinensis (East Asian common octopus) is the source of this 150-nucleotide long non-coding RNA. RefSeq lists it as uncharacterized. The transcript is spliced from 3 exons. The record is from RefSeq and is a predicted model, not a curated record. Lineage: Eukaryota; Metazoa; Mollusca; Cephalopoda; Octopoda; Octopodidae.